This 2072-nucleotide long non-coding RNA is filed under the name Aotus nancymaae (Ma's night monkey). RNAcentral's name for it is "lncRNA (ENSANAG00000038554.1)". The record is from RNAcentral. Lineage: Eukaryota; Metazoa; Chordata; Mammalia; Primates; Aotidae.
AUGAAUACGGAAGAAAGAACUCUGGCAGUUCCACUAAGGUUCAGUUCUCUUAGAGUGUUCUUUCUAGGUCAUAGCACCCAGCUUAUCCUUUGCUCCCAAGUCUUUUAUGUUAGAAGUGGGACUAAUCUAUUGUUUUCUCCUUCUCUUCCACCCCCUUCCCCCUCAGGUGAAAUAGUCACAAAUGGAAUUUCAAGAAACAUUCUAUAUACACUGCCUCUAGGACUGGGACAGAUAGCCACUGAGAACCUGCUUCAAAUCACCUUGCACAUUUUCUUGUUGAAAAGAUAACCACUGGAGAACCAUCUCGUUACCUUCAGCAAAAGCGGAAAUAAAUCAAGACAUUUAGAAUGCCACAGCGGACAGCAGUGGUUCAGCAGAGGAAGUUUACAAGACGAUGUGCCACACUAGCUAGAAAUCAGAAAAGAUUGAAGCUAGUCUUUUUAGCUCAGCUGCUCCUUAAAUCAGUGCAACCCCUCCAAAUUAAUGUGAAUUAAAACACGCAUUGCCUUUCAACUUAAUUCAGUACUUACUAUGUGUGAACCACUGCACAAAAUAGGGGAAGAAAAUGAGGGCGACAAAGAUGUGGAGCCUGUCUUCAAUGAAUUUAGAGUUAGUUUCAGGGUACAUUUUUUUUUCUUCUGCUGUUGAUUAAGUGUAUCCCUAAGACAAGAAAUAAAUGAAUGGAAAAGUAUAUUCUGUAAGUGUUUUAAGUCUCUUUAAUAAAAAACAAAACCAAACAAAACCCCCAAAACUCCUAACAUGGGCAACUCAGGACAUUUUAAUCCCCCUUUUUUUUGUUGGACUUCUGAUAAGAUCCAUUUUAUUGAUUCUAUAACUAUUUAGUAGACUUUAGAGAUAUUAAUACAUUGUAGUUUGAGUUAACUUGCAUUAAAUUCUAUUUUCUCCUCUUAGGUAUAGAUUGUCUGUUGGAAAAAUGUAUUGUUUGUGGAUUUCUUGGGGAGUGAGGAGGUGAAUUUUACCUGUUGUCUCUAUAGUCCACUACCUUCCAUGCCCCCUAGGGCAGCGGUCCCCAACCUUCUUGGCACCAGGGACCAGUUUCCUGAAAGACAAUUUUUCCACUGAUGGUGUGGAGGAUGGUUUUGGGGUGAAACUGUUCCACCUCAGCCCAUCAGGCAUUAGUUAGGUUCUCAUAAAUAUGCAACCUAGAUCCCUCACAUGUGCAGUUCACAGUAGGGUUUGCACUGCUAUGAGAAUCUAAGGCUGCCACUGACCUGACAGGAGGCAGAGCUCAGGUGACAAUGCUUACUGGCCCACCUCUUGCUGUGCCGCCUGGUUCCUAACAGGCCAUGGACUCCCACAGAGGACCCCUGGUCCACAGCUUGAGGACCCCUGUCCUAGGAGCCUGCCAUUCUGAGUGAGUUAUUAGCAUGAAGAAGAGGAAGAUUUGGUCAAACGUGGUUGGUGGUGCUCAGAGAUCCAAGAUAGGACAGGGAUGGAACAAAACCCAUCUGGGCAAUGGCUCUAUGAAAAUUUGGCUAAGUAAUUAUUUCAGUAUUCAUUGUAUGGUCCUUUGUGUUCCAUAAGUUUAAUGACUGUCCAGUUUUUCCCAAAAUUUAUUUCUGACUUGAGUAUAAGUGUGUCAUGAUUUUCCUAGUGUAAAGACACUGAUAUAACUGUAGACACCAGACAUUUUAUGUAGUGUCUGUGACACAUUUUGGUAUGUAUGAGCCAACAAUAGACACGUCUUUGUCUUGAGGAGUGUCCAUCUGAAUUGAAAAUGUGUCAGCUUUUUUUUUAACAUCAUCAACAGACUUCUUAAUUAAGCUGCCAAUACAUACUGCCAAUAGCACUGUGUGCUGUCUGAGAAAUGCAUUGUGUAAGUGCUAUUUCCAUCUUAUUAAAUAAACAAUGUUGCUCCAUAUAAACUGGAUUUAAAGUGUUCUUUGAAUGAGGGAUUAUAUUGCUCCAUAAAUAAUGUGAUGAGAAUUCUCAUAUUAUCCCUUUUAAUUUAAUUUCUAAAAAAAUAUUAUUUGUUCCUCAGUAAAGAAUAGCUCUAAUUGGACUGGUAACUUUAAUGAUAUGAUUCAUCCAUAACAGGCUGAAUCGCCUCA